CACUUUCCGCAAGAUAAAUGAUUCACAGCUCAUGUGUGUGUUAUCAUUUCGUAAUUUCCACAGUAUUUUGUCAUCUCUUCUAUGCCAUUUCUUAUAUGCUUCUCUAAAUUCUUACCACAAUUUAUAAAUCCCUCCUUAUUUCUGCCAUCAGCAGAAGAACAAGAGCUAUGUAGAGAGUAGAUCAAAUGAAGGUUGAUUUGGAGAUUCACAUGGAAUUUUCCCUCCAGAAACUUGCAGCGCUCAAAUUUAAUUUAAGCACUAAAUGAGGAAGACUACAAGUGGGACUUUUGUGAACAAAACGCCCUUCCUGAUGUUUUCGUCCUUCAGCUUAGAAGAAAUGGACUCAAAAAAUCUCAGUAAGCUAUUUUCUGCUUCUGUUUCUAAGAGAAGGCAUUAUCAUUGACAAAUUCAACUAUGACCCUUUGUUGGUGUCAAAUACUUAUCACAAGAUAGGUUGGGGACCUAUUCUAGCUCUAGACAUCUUGAGCAAAUCCUUUUACCAUUUCCAACCUUUGAGUAGGUCGAACUUUUUUCCAUGUUUACAUGGUGCUCUUCAUCAAAAGUAUAUGUAUUGACUCGGAUACUGAUAACUUCAGUCAGUCUGUGUCUUACUCUGAUCGACUGAUUAUUUUUCCAUUAGCAUCUUUUACUUUCAUGUACAAGUGUAUUUGAAUGUGUGGCUCAAAGUUUAAACAACCUUGUGAAGAAAGUGUUUACUGUAAAGUAACAACAACAACAUAACCAGUUUAA
This is a long non-coding RNA of Solanum dulcamara, 750 nucleotides long. RefSeq lists it as uncharacterized. The transcript is spliced from 3 exons. NCBI's taxonomy places the organism in Eukaryota, Viridiplantae, Streptophyta, Magnoliopsida, Solanales, Solanaceae. The record is from RefSeq and is a predicted model, not a curated record.